This 253-nucleotide ribosomal RNA is filed under the name uncultured bacterium. Its description in RNAcentral is "partial 16S ribosomal RNA". It matches the Rfam family "Bacterial small subunit ribosomal RNA", at positions 524 to 776 of the family's 1533-position model. The record is from RNAcentral.
UACGAAGGGGGCUAGCGUUGCUCGGAAUCACUGGGCGUAAAGGGUGCGUAGGCGGGGCUUUAAGGCAGGGGUGAAAUCCUGGAGCUCAACUCCAGAACUGCCUUUGAUACUGAAGAUCUUGAGUUCGGGAGAGGUGAGUGGAACUGCGAGUGUAGAGGUGAAAUUCGUAGAUAUUCGCAAGAACACCAGUGGCGAAGGCGGCUCACUGGCCCGAUACUGACGCUGAGGCACGAAAGCGUGGGGAGCAAACAGG